CAGUCGUACUGACGAGGAAUCAACCUUUAGAGUGUGGAUUCGUAGGAUUCAAAGAGCCUUUGUCCUUGCGAUAUUCGCGUUUUUUGGUGCACUUUCUCGUUUUGUAGGUUAGCAUCGGUUUUGACCGUUAUAAAAUGAUCGGAGGGAUGUAGCUUCGAUUUCGAUUGAAGUGUUAUAACCUUUGGUAGAUGUAACUGUCGGGAUCGAGGAUUGCAACGGAUACCCUAACGGGCUAUUCGUCUGGCCUCUG
RNAcentral lists this ribosomal RNA (250 nucleotides) under uncultured Glomeromycotina. RNAcentral's name for it is "partial large subunit ribosomal RNA". Lineage: Eukaryota; Fungi; Glomeromycota. The record is from RNAcentral.